CAAGCGGAUCUCUUAAAGCNGUUCUCAGUUCGGACUGCAGUCUGCAACUCGACUGCACGAAGCUGGAAUCGCUAGUAAUUGCGGAUCAGCACGCCGCGGUGAAUACGUUCCCGGGCCUUGUACACACCGCCCGUCACACCAUGGAAGUCUGCAAUGCCCGAAGCCGGUGGCCUAACCACUUAUGUGGAAGGAGCCGUCUAAGGCAGGGCAGAUGACUGGGGUGAAGUCGUAACAAGGUAGC
Molecule: ribosomal RNA, 241 nt
Filed under: uncultured bacterium
Lineage: Bacteria
Description: partial 16S ribosomal RNA
Rfam family: Bacterial small subunit ribosomal RNA
Source: RNAcentral